GUUAGUCAACCAUGUAGACAUUUUGAUUGUCAGUUACCAACAUAUCUGUGAUUUACCAAUGGGGUUCAGGAUUCCUAUCAUAUAAAAAUCUCAUGACAAAUAAGUGGAUAAUCAUAGGGUACUCUGGAUCAGAUGGUGGUUUAUGUGGAUGCUUUGGACUAAACCACAUGCCCUCUGGACUCAUUCACAUCUACACUUUUUAAUGGGACUUUAUUUCACCUGCCUGGAGUAGCAGUAUGACAUCUUGGGAAAACAUCUGGACUUGGAGUCAAGGAAACUGAGUCUGUUUUCUUCCUUUGGACUAUAUAUAGGCUCAAUAUUUCUGAGAAUUACUUCACAACUCAGCAACUACUGACAGAAUGAUUGUGCCAGUACACAGUGAAAUGAGUGCUUCACUAAGAGUUUGAACAUCUACCAUUAAAUCCUGCCAUCUUGGAUAAGUCA
Long non-coding RNA from Monodelphis domestica (gray short-tailed opossum), 444 nucleotides. RefSeq lists it as uncharacterized. NCBI's taxonomy places the organism in Eukaryota, Metazoa, Chordata, Mammalia, Didelphimorphia, Didelphidae. The record is from RefSeq and is a predicted model, not a curated record.